This 465-nucleotide ribosomal RNA is filed under the name uncultured Klebsiella sp. RNAcentral describes it as "bacterial SSU rRNA". It matches the Rfam family "Bacterial small subunit ribosomal RNA", at positions 338 to 795 of the family's 1533-position model. The record is from RNAcentral. Lineage: Bacteria; Pseudomonadati; Pseudomonadota; Gammaproteobacteria; Enterobacterales; Enterobacteriaceae.
CCUACGGGGGGCUGCAGUGGGGAAUCUUGCACAAUGGGCGCAAGCCUGAUGCAGCCAUGCCGCGUGUGUGAAGAAGGCCUUCGGGUUGUAAAGCACUUUCAGCGGGGAGGAAGGCGUUAAGGUUAAUAACCUUGGCGAUUGACGUUACCCGCAGAAGAAGCACCGGCUAACUCCGUGCCAGCAGCCGCGGUAAUACGGAGGGUGCAAGCGUUAAUCGGAAUUACUGGGCGUAAAGCGCACGCAGGCGGUCUGUCAAGUCGGAUGUGAAAUCCCCGGGCUCAACCUGGGAACUGCAUUCGAAACUGGCAGGCUAGAGUCUUGUAGAGGGGGGUAGAAUUCCAGGUGUAGCGGUGAAAUGCGUAGAGAUCUGGAGGAAUACCGGUGGCGAAGGCGGCCCCCUGGACAAAGACUGACGCUCAGGUGCGAAAGCGUGGGGAGCAAACAGGAUUAGAUACCCCAGUAGUC